This 517-nucleotide ribosomal RNA is filed under the name uncultured marine bacterium. Its description in RNAcentral is "bacterial SSU rRNA". It matches the Rfam family "Bacterial small subunit ribosomal RNA", at positions 11 to 526 of the family's 1533-position model. The record is from RNAcentral.
GUNNGAUCAUGGCUCAGAUUGAACGCUGGCGGCAGGCCUAACACAUGCAAGUCGAGCGCGAAAGUUCUUCGGAACGAGUAGAGCGGCGGACGGGUGAGUAACGCGUGGGAAAUUGCCCAGUAGUGGGGNACAACAUUCGGAAACGGAUGCUAAUACCGCAUACGCCCUACGGGGGAAAGCAGGGGAUCUUCGGACCUUGCGCUACUGGAUAUGCCCGCGUCGGAUUAGCUAGUUGGUGAGGUAAUGGCUCACCAAGGCGACGAUCCGUAUCUGGUCUGAGAGGAUGAUCAGCCACACUGGGACUGAGACACGGCCCAGACUCCUACGGGAGGCAGCAGUGGGGAAUAUUGGACAAUGGGCGCAAGCCUGAUCCAGCCAUGCCGCGUGUGUGAAGAAGGCCCUAGGGUUGUAAAGCACUUUCAGCAGGGAGGAAGGCCUUAAAGUUAAUACCUUUGAGGAUUGACGUUACCUGCAGAAGAAGCACCGGCUAACUCCGUGCCAGCAGCCGCGGUAAUAC